RNAcentral lists this ribosomal RNA (465 nucleotides) under Triticum aestivum (bread wheat). Its description in RNAcentral is "partial small subunit ribosomal RNA". The record is from RNAcentral. Lineage: Eukaryota; Viridiplantae; Streptophyta; Magnoliopsida; Poales; Poaceae.
AUGAAUGUAAAUAUUCGAUAUUUACUAAAAAGGGAUACUGGAUAUUUUGGAUUGAAAAUUUACUUGUCCGACCAGCUUCUUGGUACUUGUAAGUUAGUACAACUCUUGGUCAAUGUGGAUGAGGAAACUGACCUGAAACAUCCUAUUUCCUUCACGUAUAAAUGGCUCCCUCCUGCGGAUGAUAAGGAUGAAGAUCGCCGUCAGCCCAAGGGCCUUAACUUUCUCCAUGACGCCAACCUGCCGGUGAUCUACAAGCAGGCCUUCAACAUCUACUGGACUAGGGUCAGUUUGAGCCUUCACGAGCUCGACAUCGGAGCCAGCACUCUACAUGCUUAUCGACGCGGUGGCCAUCGAGGUCAAACUUGUCCGGAAAUACUUGUCGGAGUAAUGGAUGUAUCUAUACGCAUUUUAGUUUUAGACACAUCCAUUUUUAUGCAUUUCUUCGACAUGUACUGUGAUUUGUGA